GAUGAACGCUGGCGGCGUGCCUAAUACAUGCAAGUCGAGCGAACAGACGAGGAGCUUGCUCCUCUGACGUUAGCGGCGGACGGGUGAGUAACACGCGGAUAACCUUCCUAUAAGACUGGGAUAACUUCGGGAAACCGGAGCUAAUACCGGAUAAUAUAUUGAACCGCAUGGUUCAAUAGUGAAAGACGGUUUUGCUGUCACUUAUAGAUGGAUCCGCGCCGCAUUAGCUAGUUGGUAAGGUAACGGCUUACCAAGGCAACGAUGCGUAGCCGACCUGAGAGGGUGAUCGGCCACACUGGAACUGAGACACGGUCCAGACUCCUACGGGAGGCAGCAGUAGGGAAUCUUCCGCAAUGGGCGAAAGCCUGACGGAGCAACGCCGCGUGAGUGAUGAAGGUCUUCGGAUCGUAAAACUCUGUUAUUAGGGAAGAACAAAUGUGUAAGUAACUAUGCACGUCUUGACGGUACCUAAUCAGAAAGCCACGGCUAACUACGUG
RNAcentral lists this ribosomal RNA (497 nucleotides) under uncultured bacterium. Its description in RNAcentral is "partial 16S ribosomal RNA". It matches the Rfam family "Bacterial small subunit ribosomal RNA", at positions 28 to 507 of the family's 1533-position model. The record is from RNAcentral.